This 419-nucleotide ribosomal RNA is filed under the name bacterium enrichment culture clone ALO1_GLFRUDD03GSWNU. Its description in RNAcentral is "bacterial SSU rRNA". It matches the Rfam family "Bacterial small subunit ribosomal RNA", at positions 9 to 429 of the family's 1533-position model. The record is from RNAcentral.
GAGUUUGAUCUUGGCUCAGAUUGAACGCUGGCGGCAUGCCUUACACAUGCAAGUCGAACGGCAGUACGGGAGCUUGCUCCUGGUGGCGAGUGGCGAACGGGUGAGUAAUGCGUCGGAACGUAUCCUGGAGUGGGGGAUAACGUAGCGAAAGUUACGCUAAUACCGCAUAUUCUGUGAGCAGGAAAGCGGGGGACCUUCGGGCCUCGCGCUCUUGGAGCGGCCGAUGUCGGAUUAGCUAGUUGGUGAGGUAAAGGCUCACCAAGGCGACGAUCCGUAGCAGGUCUGAGAGGAUGAUCUGCCACACUGGAACUGAGACACGGUCCAGACUCCUACGGGAGGCAGCAGUGGGGAAUUUUUGGACAAUGGGGGCAACCCUGAUCCAGCCAUGCCGCGUGAGUGAAGAAGGCCUCGGUUGUAAG